Molecule: ribosomal RNA, 497 nt
Filed under: uncultured bacterium
Lineage: Bacteria
Description: partial 16S ribosomal RNA
Rfam family: Bacterial small subunit ribosomal RNA
Source: RNAcentral
GAUGAACGCUGGUGGCGUGCCUAAUACAUGCCAGUCGAGCGAACGGACGAGAAGCUUGCUUUUCUGAUGUUAGCGGCGGACGGGUGAGUAACACGUGGAUAACCUACCUAUAAGACUGGGAUAACUUCGGGAAACCGGAGCUAAUACCGGAUAAUAUUUUGAACCGCAUGGUUCAAAAGUGAAAGACGGUCUUGCUGUCACUUAUAGAUGGAUCCGCGCUGCAUUAGCCAGUUGGUAAGGUAACGGCUUACCAAGGCAACGAUGCAUAGCCGACCUGAGAGGGUGAUCGGCCACACUGGAACUGAGACACGGUCCAGACUCCUACGGGAGGCAGCAGUAGGGAAUCUUCCGCAAUGGGCGAAAGCCUGACGGAGCAACGCCGCGUGAGUGAUGAAGGUCUUCGGAUCGUAAAACUCUGUUAUUAGGGAAGAACAUAUGUGUAAGUAACUGUGCACAUCUUGACGGUACCUAAUCAGAAAGCCACGGCUAACUACGUG